Molecule: ribosomal RNA, 291 nt
Filed under: Triticum aestivum (bread wheat)
Lineage: Eukaryota; Viridiplantae; Streptophyta; Magnoliopsida; Poales; Poaceae
Description: partial small subunit ribosomal RNA
Source: RNAcentral
AUGCAAAAAGUGGUGGGUUUGUGGCCGAUUACUAACGAACCUGAUCAGGUUGUGUGGUCCCUGGGGAGAAAGAAGAACAAGUUCACUACUAAAUCAGUCUAUGAAUACCUGGAAAGAAAUUUAGUUGCGUGUAAAUAUAACUGGAUUUGGCAAGCAAAAAUUCCGCUUAAAAUUCAAAUCUUCCUGUGGCAGCUAUUUCAAGAUUCUAUCUUGACUAGAGAUGUGAUGAAGAGGCGGAGAUGGUUGGGGAAUCCUUCCUGCUCCUUUUGUAAUAACAAAGAAACAUCCUAG